RNAcentral lists this ribosomal RNA (2324 nucleotides) under Burkholderia pseudomallei MSHR4308. Its description in RNAcentral is "bacterial LSU rRNA". It matches the Rfam family "Bacterial large subunit ribosomal RNA", at positions 602 to 2925 of the family's 2925-position model. The record is from RNAcentral. Lineage: Bacteria; Pseudomonadati; Pseudomonadota; Betaproteobacteria; Burkholderiales; Burkholderiaceae.
UACCUUUUGUAUAAUGGGUCAGCGACUUACGUUCAGUAGCAAGCUUAACCGAAUAGGGCAGGCGUAGCGAAAGCGAGUCCGAAUAGGGCGUUCAGUUGCUGGGCGUAGACCCGAAACCAGGUGAUCUAUCCAUGGCCAGGAUGAAGGUGCGGUAACACGUACUGGAGGUCCGAACCCACUAACGUUGAAAAGUUAGGGGAUGAGCUGUGGAUAGGGGUGAAAGGCUAAACAAACCUGGAAAUAGCUGGUUCUCUCCGAAAACUAUUUAGGUAGUGCCUCGUGUCUCACCUUCGGGGGUAGAGCACUGUCAUGGUUGGGGGGUCUAUUGCAGAUUACCCCGCCAUAGCAAACUCCGAAUACCGAAGAGUGCAAUCACGGGAGACAGACAUCGGGUGCUAACGUCCGGUGUCAAGAGGGAAACAACCCAGACCGCCAGCUAAGGUCCCCAAAUAUGGCUAAGUGGGAAACGAAGUGGGAAGGCUAAAACAGUCAGGAGGUUGGCUUAGAAGCAGCCACCCUUUAAAGAAAGCGUAAUAGCUCACUGAUCGAGUCGUCCUGCGCGGAAGAUGUAACGGGGCUAAGCCAUAUACCGAAGCUGCGGAUGCGAGCUAGUCUCGCAUGGUAGGAGAGCGUUCCGUAAGCCUGCGAAGGUGCGUUGAAAAGCGUGCUGGAGGUAUCGGAAGUGCGAAUGCUGACAUGAGUAGCGAUAAAGGGGGUGAAAGGCCCCCUCGCCGUAAGCCCAAGGUUUCCUACGCAACGUUCAUCGGCGUAGGGUGAGUCGGCCCCUAAGGCGAGGCAGAAAUGCGUAGCUGAUGGGAAGCAGGUCAAUAUUCCUGCACCGUCGUUAGAUGCGAUGGGGGGACGGAUCGCGGAAGGUUGUCCGGGUGUUGGAAGUCCCGGUCGCUGCAUUGGAGAAGGCGCUUAGGCAAAUCCGGGCGCAGGAUUCAAGGGUGUGGCGCGAGCUCCUUCGGGAGCGAAGCAAUUGGAAGUGGUUCCAAGAAAAGCCUCUAAGCUUCAGUCUAACGAUGACCGUACCGCAAACCGACACAGGUGGGCGAGAUGAGUAUUCUAAGGCGCUUGAGAGAACUCGGGAGAAGGAACUCGGCAAAUUGGUACCGUAACUUCGGGAUAAGGUACGCCCUGGUAGCUUGACUGGCCUGCGCCAGAAGGGUGAAGGGGUUGCAAUAAACUGGUGGCUGCGACUGUUUAAUAAAAACACAGCACUCUGCAAACACGAAAGUGGACGUAUAGGGUGUGACGCCUGCCCGGUGCCGGAAGAUUAAAUGAUGGGGUGCAAGCUCUUGAUUGAAGUCCCGGUAAACGGCGGCCGUAACUAUAACGGUCCUAAGGUAGCGAAAUUCCUUGUCGGGUAAGUUCCGACCUGCACGAAUGGCGUAACGAUGGCCACACUGUCUCCUCCCGAGACUCAGCGAAGUUGAAGUGUUUGUGAUGAUGCAAUCUACCCGCGGCUAGACGGAAAGACCCCAUGAACCUUUACUGUAGCUUUGCAUUGGACUUUGAACCGAUCUGUGUAGGAUAGGUGGGAGGCUAUGAAACCGGAACGCUAGUUUCGGUGGAGCCGUCCUUGAAAUACCACCCUGGUUUGUUUGAGGUUCUAACCUUGGCCCGUGAUCCGGGUCGGGGACAGUGCAUGGUAGGCAGUUUGACUGGGGCGGUCUCCUCCCAAAGCGUAACGGAGGAGUACGAAGGUACGCUAGGUACGGUCGGAAAUCGUGCUGAUAGUGCAAUGGCAUAAGCGUGCUUAACUGCGAGACCGACAAGUCGAGCAGGUGCGAAAGCAGGUCAUAGUGAUCCGGUGGUUCUGUAUGGAAGGGCCAUCGCUCAACGGAUAAAAGGUACUCUGGGGAUAACAGGCUGAUACCGCCCAAGAGUUCAUAUCGACGGCGGUGUUUGGCACCUCGAUGUCGGCUCAUCUCAUCCUGGGGCUGUAGCCGGUCCCAAGGGUAUGGCUGUUCGCCAUUUAAAGAGGUACGUGAGCUGGGUUUAAAACGUCGUGAGACAGUUUGGUCCCUAUCUGCCGUGGGCGUUGGAAGUUUGAAGGGGGCUGCUCCUAGUACGAGAGGACCGGAGUGGACGAACCUCUGGUGUACCGGUUGUGACGCCAGUCGCAUCGCCGGGUAGCUAUGUUCGGAAGAGAUAACCGCUGAAAGCAUCUAAGCGGGAAACUCGCCUUAAGAUGAGACUUCCCCGGGGACUUGAUCCCCUUGAAGGGUCGUUCGAGACCAGGACGUUGAUAGGUCGGGUGUGUAAGCGCAGUAAUGCGUUCAGCUAACCGAUACUAAUUGCCCGUAUGGCUUGAUCCU